GGGGGAACCCUGAUGCAGCGACGCCGCGUGAGCGAUGAAGCCCUUCGGGGUGUAAAGCUCUUUCGGCAGGGAAGAUGAUGACGGUACCUGCAGAAGCAGCUGCGGCUAACUACGUGCCAGCAGCCGCGGUAAUACGUAGGCAGCGAGCGUUGUUCGGAGUUACUGGGCGUAAANGGUGUGUAGGCGGUUGCUUAAGUUUGGUGUGAAAUCUCCCGGCUCAACCGGGAGGGUGCGCCGAAUACUGAGUGACUCGAGUGCGGGAGAGGAAAGUGGAAUUCCUGGUGUAGCGGUGAAAUGCGUAGAUAUCAGGAGGAACACCGGUGGUGUAGACGGCUUUCUGGACCGUAACUGACGCUGAGACACGAAAGCGUGGGUAGCAAACAGGAUUAGAUACCCUGGUAGUCCACGCCCUAAACGAUGCAUAUUUGGUGUGGGCAGUUCAUUCUGUCCGUGCCGGAGCUAACGCGUUAAAUAUGCCGCCUGGGGAGUACAGUCGCAAGGCUGAAACUCAAAGGAAUUGACGGA
Molecule: ribosomal RNA, 525 nt
Filed under: uncultured bacterium
Lineage: Bacteria
Description: bacterial SSU rRNA
Rfam family: Bacterial small subunit ribosomal RNA
Source: RNAcentral